This 200-nucleotide long non-coding RNA is filed under the name Vigna radiata. RNAcentral describes it as "long non-coding RNA (VRAD_LNC012484)". Lineage: Eukaryota; Viridiplantae; Streptophyta; Magnoliopsida; Fabales; Fabaceae. The record is from RNAcentral.
AAAAACCAAUAACUCAAUUAAUAAUUAGGUUAAAUUAUGUGUUUAGUCUUAAUUUUUAUUUUAAAAUAUUAUUAAGUUUUUUCUUAUACAUUUUAAUUUGAUCUCUAUUUGAGAAAUGUGAUGGAAUUAGUUUUUUUUUUGUUAGCACUGUACCAGCAACUUUAAAGAUAUAUAAUAUGUCAGUUCGUCGUUUUUUUUAA